GCAAGAAAAUUACCAGAUGUUUGAUGAUGUAUACAGACCAGAUUUGAGCGGCUGCGUUGGGGGCCUUGAACUGGCUGGCUUGUCUCACUUCUAUUAUUCUUCCUGGCCAUUCCCAACUGGUUUUGAUCAGCUUCCAUUAAUGCAAGAAGGGAUGGAGUUGCCAAAGAAUGUUGGUCCGUUGCCUGAUGCAGCUCAUGAAUUAGAACUAGCUGAAUUUGAACGAAUGAAGGUAGAAAGGCAG
RNAcentral lists this unclassified non-coding RNA (241 nucleotides) under Hevea brasiliensis (rubber tree). Lineage: Eukaryota; Viridiplantae; Streptophyta; Magnoliopsida; Malpighiales; Euphorbiaceae. The record is from RNAcentral.